RNAcentral lists this ribosomal RNA (564 nucleotides) under Triticum aestivum (bread wheat). Its description in RNAcentral is "partial small subunit ribosomal RNA". Lineage: Eukaryota; Viridiplantae; Streptophyta; Magnoliopsida; Poales; Poaceae. The record is from RNAcentral.
AUGCAGGUGGCGGAACGUUCGGUGGCCAGCCGGACUGAUGGAGUUGCUGAACUGAAGAGGCAACUCGAUGUUGAGGAUGCGGACAUCGCGCUGGUCAAUAAACGACUUAACGAGUCGCAAGAUGGCGCCGCUGCUGUGGAAAACCUUCGAGCAGAGCUUGCUCGAGCCAAGGAGCAAGCCAAGAUAAGUGAUGCUGCUGCCUCGAAGGCAGCAGAAGAGCUAAAAGCCGAAAAGGCUGCUCACUGCCGAAGCAGGGAAGAGUUGGCCGGAAUGGCCUUGAAAUUAAAAGAUGCUACCGACCGUUGUGAGGUUCUUGAAGGAGAACGCCGAGUGGAGCAAGAGGGCCUAAAGAAGGCCGUCGCCAAAGUCAAGGAUGCCCGGAGUGAGAUGCGGGCUAUGAAGGAGGAACUGCGUCAGGCUGGAGACAUUGCGGCUGGAAAGCCCUUUCUUCUGCGUAGGAAGUUCACGGAUCCGAAGUAUGCUCAGCUGGGUCAGUUGUGUGGUGCGGAGGAUCCUUAUCUGGAUUUGGCGGCGAGUGCGGCGGACGCAGUCGUGCACUUCUGA